Molecule: ribosomal RNA, 403 nt
Filed under: uncultured bacterium
Lineage: Bacteria
Description: partial 16S ribosomal RNA
Rfam family: Bacterial small subunit ribosomal RNA
Source: RNAcentral
GACGAACGCUGGCGGCGUGCCUAAUACAUGCAAGUCGAACGCAGUGGGGACGGGUGAGUUACACGUGGGUAACCUCCCAUCAGAGGGGAUAACACUUGGAAACAGGUGCUAAACCGAUACUGAUGGAUGAACCCGCGGUGCAUUAGCUAGUUGGGGAGGUAACGGCUCACCAAGGCCACGAUGAGUAGCCGACCUGAGAGGAUGAUCAGCCACACUGGAACUGAGACACGGCCCAGACUCCUACGGGAGGCAGCAGUAGGGAAUAUUCGGCAAUGGACGAAAGCCUGACCGAGCAACGCCGCGUGAGUGAAGAAGGUUUUCGGAUCGUAAAGCUCUGUAGGUAGAGAAGCGGUAUCUAACCAAAAAGCCACGGCUAACUACGUGCCAGCAGCCGCGGUAAUAC